AUGACUCUUACAGUCUCGAUCCACUUGAAAAGGUUUUCUAUUAAAUCCACUAACAAGAAAAUUAUAGACAUUGCUAUCAAGUCAAUAUCCUCGUGGCCACUAGACCUCGUGAAAAUUCUAGGUCCAUUUUGAAUUGCAAAAGUUGGAAACUUCACACUUCUUUGUUCUAUCUUUUCUUAGUGGUGUAAUGUGGAGAUUCUGCACAAAUAGACCGACCAUACCUG
Molecule: long non-coding RNA, 224 nt
Filed under: Nicotiana benthamiana
Lineage: Eukaryota; Viridiplantae; Streptophyta; Magnoliopsida; Solanales; Solanaceae
Description: long non-coding RNA (NBEN_LNC003693)
Source: RNAcentral